AAACUAUUAUCGCACAAUAUAAUUCAUCACAAACGUGUUAACACGAAUGGAAUACACAACGAUGCUACAACAAAAUGUAAUCUCAUUCAAAUUCAACUCAAAUUGCAUCCAAAACAUCGCGAAAAUUCCUUCAAAUUGUCUCAAACAACAAGACACAAAAUUUUAAACUCAAUCAACAUUAAGGCCGAUACAAGUAUUCUCAUCACAAAUUUAUCAUUCAAAAUUGAACCCAAUGACAACAUUGACAAAGUUUAUUACAACUUUAUCACUACAAAAUCGAAUCAAAUACCAAAAUCCAAGGUUCACUCAAAUGUAACACGACUAAGCAUGGUAUCGCAAACGAACUUCAUCACAAUGCUUUAA
This is a non-coding RNA of Vicia faba (fava bean), 363 nucleotides long. NCBI's taxonomy places the organism in Eukaryota, Viridiplantae, Streptophyta, Magnoliopsida, Fabales, Fabaceae. The record is from the annotation of a GenBank genome assembly.